CCUGAAGGAACGCCUGAAGGAACGUUGAAGACGACGACGUUGAUAGGCCGGGUGUGUAAGCGCAGCGAUGCGUUGAGCUAACCGGUACUAAUGAACCGUGAGGCUUAACCUU
RNAcentral lists this ribosomal RNA (112 nucleotides) under Salmonella enterica. Its description in RNAcentral is "partial 23S ribosomal RNA". It matches the Rfam family "Bacterial large subunit ribosomal RNA", at positions 2813 to 2925 of the family's 2925-position model. Lineage: Bacteria; Pseudomonadati; Pseudomonadota; Gammaproteobacteria; Enterobacterales; Enterobacteriaceae. The record is from RNAcentral.